This 1003-nucleotide ribosomal RNA is filed under the name Mycobacterium intracellulare. Its description in RNAcentral is "partial 23S ribosomal RNA". It matches the Rfam family "Bacterial large subunit ribosomal RNA", at positions 1699 to 2684 of the family's 2925-position model. Lineage: Bacteria; Bacillati; Actinomycetota; Actinomycetes; Mycobacteriales; Mycobacteriaceae. The record is from RNAcentral.
CUAUGGUUAAGGAACUCGGCAAAAUGCCCCCGUAACUUCGGGAGAAGGGGGGCCGGAAUACCGUGAACACCCUUGCGGUGGGAGCGGGAUCCGGCCGCAGAAACCAGUGGGUAGCGACUGUUUACUAAAAACACAGGUCCGUGCGAAGUCGCAAGACGAUGUAUACGGACUGACGCCUGCCCGGUGCUGGAAGGUUAAGAGGACCCGUUAACCGUAAGGUGAAGCGGAGAAUUUAAGCCCCAGUAAACGGCGGUGGUAACUAUAACCAUCCUAAGGUAGCGAAAUUCCUUGUCGGGUAAGUUCCGACCUGCACGAAUGGCGUAACGACUUCCCAACUGUCUCAACCAUAGACUCGGCGAAAUUGCACUACGAGUAAAGAUGCUCGUUACGCGCGGCAGGACGAAAAGACCCCGGGACCUUCACUACAACUUGGUAUUGGUGUUCGGUACGGUUUGUGUAGGAUAGGUGGGAGACUGUGAAAUACAGACGCCAGUUUGUAUGGAGUCGUUGUUGAAAUACCACUCUGAUCGUAUUGGACACCUAACGUCGAACCCUUAUCGGGUUCACGGACAGUGCCUGGCGGGUAGUUUAACUGGGGCGGUUGCCUCCUAAAAUGUAACGGAGGCGCCCAAAGGUUCCCUCAACCUGGACGGCAAUCAGGUGACGAGUGUAAGUGCACAAGGGAGCUUGACUGCGAGACUUACAAGUCAAGCAGGGACGAAAGUCGGGACUAGUGAUCCGGCACCCCCGAGUGGAAGGGGUGUCGCUCAACGGAUAAAAGGUACCCCGGGGAUAACAGGCUGAUCUUCCCCAAGAGUCCAUAUCGACGGGAUGGUUUGGCACCUCGAUGUCGGCUCGUCGCAUCCUGGGGCUGGAGCAGGUCCCAAGGGUUGGGCUGUUCGCCCAUUAAAGCGGCACGCGAGCUGGGUUUAGAACGUCGUGAGACAGUUCGGUCUCUAUCCGCCGCGCGCGUCAGAAACUUGAGGAAACCUGUCCCUAGUAC